This 2185-nucleotide long non-coding RNA is filed under the name Xyrichtys novacula (pearly razorfish). Lineage: Eukaryota; Metazoa; Chordata; Actinopteri; Labriformes; Labridae. The record is from RNAcentral.
GGAUUUUUCUGAGUGCAAUGAACCAACUCCCGAGUCUCUAGGACGUUCCUAAAAAAAUUUGAUUUUUUCCCAUAGGAAUGCAUGGGUUAGGGUUAGGGUUAGGGUUGGAGCUAGGGUUAGGGUUAGGGUUGGAGUUAGGGUUAGUGUUGGAGCUAGGGUUAGGGUUGGGCUUGGAGCUAGGAUUUUUCUGAGUGCAAUGAACCAACUCCCGAGUCUCUAGGACGUUCCUAAAAAAAAUUGAUUUUUUCCCAUAGGAAUGCAUGGGUUAGGGUUAGGGUUAGUGUUGGAGCUAGGGUUAGGGUUAGGGUUAGGGUUGGAGUUAGGGUUAGUGUUGGAGCUAGCGUUAGGGUUGGGCUUGGAGCUAGGAUUUUUCUGAGUGCAAUGAACCAACUCCCGAGUCUCUAGGACGUUCCUAAAAAAAAUUGAUUUUUUCCCAUAGGAAUGCAUGGGUUAGGGUUAGGGUUAGAGUUGGAGCUAGGGUUAGGGUUAGGGUUAGGGUUGGGUUAGGGUUAGUGCCAACCCAAUUUUUCACCUUCCAGAAUUGUGUUAGGAGCACGUUUCACGGCACGGGGAGUCUAUAUAACCUAAUUCUGGGGGAAGUUUUUUGAAAAGUUUACUUAGGGUUUGGGUUAGGGUUAGGGUUGGAGCUAGGGUUAAGGUUGGAGCUAGGGUUAGGGUUAGGGUUAGGAUUAGGGUGGAGCUAGGGUUAGGGUUAGGGUUGGAGUUAGGGUUAGGGUUGGGGCUAUGGUUAGGGUUAAGGUUGGAGCUAGGGUUAGGGUUAGGGUUAGGGUUGGAGCUAGGGUUAGGGUUAGGGUUGGAGCUAGGGUUAGGGUUAGGGUUAGGGUUGGAGUUAGGGUUAGUGUUGGAGCUAGGGUUAGGGUUGGGCUUGGAGCUAGGAUUUUUCUGAGUGCAAUGAACCAACUCCCGAGUCUCUAGGACGUUCCUAAAAAAAAUUUUUUUUUUCCCAUAGGAAUGCAUGGGUUAGGGUUAGGGUUAGGGUUGGAGCUAGGGUUAGGGUUAGGGUUAGGGUUGGAGUUAGGGUUAGUGUUGGAGCUAGGGUUAGGGUUGGGCUUGGAGCUAGGAUUUUUCUGAGUGCAAUGAACCAACUCCCGAGUCUCUAGGACGUUCCUAAAAAAAUUGAUUUUUUCCCAUAGGAAUGCAUGGGUUAGGGUUAGGGUUAGGGUUGGAGCUAGGGUUAGGGUUAGGGUUAGGGUUGGAGUUAGGGUUAGUGUUGGAGCUAGGGUUAGGGUUAGGGUUAGGGUUGGAGUUAGGGUUUGUGUUGGAGCUAGGGUUAGGGUUGGGCUUGGAGCUAGGAUUUUUCUGAGUGCAAUGAACCAACUCCCGAGUCUCUAGGACGUUCCUAAAAAAAUUUGAUUUUUUCCCAUAGGAAUGCAUGGGUUAGGGUUAGGGUUAGGGUUGGAGCUAGGGUUAGGGUUAGGGUUGGAGUUAGGGUUAGUGUUGGAGCUAGGGUUAGGGUUGGGCUUGGAGCUAGGAUUUUUCUGAGUGCAAUGAACCAACUCCUGAGUCUCUAGGACGUUCCUAAAAAAAUUUGAUUUUUUCCCAUAGGAAUGCAUGGGUUAGGGUUAGGGUUAGGGUUGGAGCUAGGGUUAGGGUUAGGGUUAGGGUUGGGUUAGGGUUAGUGCCAACCCAAUUUUUCACCUUCCAGAAUAGUGUUAGGAGCACGUUUCAGGGCACGGGGAGUCUAUAGAACCUAAUUCUGGGGGAAGUUUUUUGAAAGGUUUACUUAGGGUUAGGGUUGGAGCUAGGGUUAAGGUUGGAGCUAGGGUUAGGGUUAGGGUUAGGAUUAGGGUGGAGCUAGGGUUAGGGUUAGGGUUAGAGCUAGGGUUAGGGUUGGGGCUAGGGUUAGGGUUAGGGUUAAGGUUGGAGCUAGGGUUAGGGUUAGGGUUAGGGUUGGAGCUAGGGUUAGGGUUAGGGUUAGGGUUGGAGCUAGGGUUAGGGUUAGGGUUAGGGUUGGAGUUAGGGUUAGUGUUGGAGCUAGGGUUAGGGUUGGGCUUGGAGCUAGGAUUUUUCUGAGUGCAAUGAACCAACUCCCGAGUCUCUAGGACGUUCCUAAAAAAAUUUGAUUUUUUUCCCCAUAGGAAUGCAUGGGUUAGGGUUAGGGUUAGGGUUGGAGCUAGGGUUAGGGUUAGGGUUAGGGUUGGAGUAAGGGUUAGUGUUGGAGCUA